This 803-nucleotide long non-coding RNA is filed under the name Capra hircus (goat). Its description in RNAcentral is "lncRNA (ENSCHIG00010016139.1)". Lineage: Eukaryota; Metazoa; Chordata; Mammalia; Artiodactyla; Bovidae. The record is from RNAcentral.
UUAGCCUCCAAUUAAAAUUUUAAAAAAUGGCUGCCUUGUUGUUAAUGACAAUUAGCAGGUUGCACUCACCAUUAUUUGGUAGAUACAUCCUUGUACACUGCUGUAACUUAAUAGCCUUUUUUGGAAGAAAAUUAGCCAGCAAUCUCACGCACAAAAUCCUAAAACGUAAUUUAAAAGGUCUUAGUAUUUCUAAAAUUUAGAGGCUUAUGGUUAAAACAGAAGGAAGCAAACUCUGUAGGCAAACUUCAGAAUUCUCCCUCUUUCCCCAUUCACUGCUAGGAACUGGACAGGCGCUUUAAGACUUUUCUGCUGCUCCUUACAUCUGUCCCUCAAAUCCUUACAGGGCCCUCAGAGAAACCACUACCUUUCUCUGACAUGUAAAAGUUAAAUAACUUGGCACUGAAAAGCAGGGUUCAGAAAUUCUGAAAAUGCUAUUUCCCAUAAGUGAUAUAUAUUUUAAAAAUAGAAAAACUUUCCCUUCAGCUUUACAACAGAUUAAAAGGGUUUCUGUGAUCUCUAGAAAACCAUUCUUUGUAAAUGAGCUUGAAGCAUCGUACUGUCCCCCAUCAUGCUAUCGCUCUCUGUACUUCACGAUGAUACAAAUGAUGGUCAGGCAUCAACUCCUUUUGUCUUUUAUGAGCUACGUUGAGGCUCUUAGAAGGUCACUGCACUCGAAAGCCGUGGACUCACCUGACCUAGUCUCUGUGGCUCAGGACAUGUUUCCUGGAGCACUCAGUGACCUGAAGCAACAGAAAGCAGGCACAUUCACAAGACUGAGGACUGCAAGAGGUUCGAUACAUUAG